AUCAAACUCCGAAUGCCGUCAUCUUAUACUUGGGAGUCAGACUGUGGGUGAUAAGAUUCAUAGUCGAAAGGGCAACAGCCCAGAUCGUCAGCUAAGGUCCCUAAAUGUAAGUUAAGUGGUAAAGGAUGUGGGAUUGCACAGACAACCAGGAUGUUGGCUUAGAAGCAGCCACUCAUUCAAAGAGUGCGUAAUAGCUCACUGGUCGAGUGAUCCUGCGCCGAAGAUUUCCGGGGCUAAAACUUACUACCGAAGCUACGGCAUCAGUAAUGAUGGGUAGGGGAGCUUCCCAUACGGGUUGAAGCAUGACCGUAAGGACAUGUGGACAGUAUGGGAGUGAGAAUGUUGGCAUGAGUAGCGAGAUGUGGGUGAGAAUCCCACAGGCCGUAAACCCAAGGUUUCCAGGGGAAGGUUCGUCCGCCCUGGGUUAGUCGGGACCUAAGCUGAGGCCGAAAGGCGUAGGUGAUGGACAACAGGUUGAUAUUCCUGUACUACCGAUAACCGUUUGAGAGA
This 510-nucleotide ribosomal RNA is filed under the name Clostridioides difficile. RNAcentral describes it as "partial 23S ribosomal RNA". It matches the Rfam family "Bacterial large subunit ribosomal RNA", at positions 948 to 1465 of the family's 2925-position model. The record is from RNAcentral. Lineage: Bacteria; Bacillati; Bacillota; Clostridia; Peptostreptococcales; Peptostreptococcaceae.